RNAcentral lists this ribosomal RNA (440 nucleotides) under uncultured bacterium. RNAcentral describes it as "partial 16S ribosomal RNA". It matches the Rfam family "Bacterial small subunit ribosomal RNA", at positions 338 to 795 of the family's 1533-position model. The record is from RNAcentral.
CCUACGGGAGGCAGCAGUGGGGGAUAUUGCACAAUGGGGGAAACCCUGAUGCAGCGACGCCGCGUGUGGGAAGACGGUCCUCUGGAUUGUAAACCACUGUCCCCAGGGACGAAGAUGACGGUACCUGGGGAGGAAGCUCCGGCUAACUACGUGCCAGCAGCCGCGGUAAUACGUAGGGAGCGAGCGUUGUCCGGAAUUACUGGGUGUAAAGGGAGCGUAGGCGGGACUGCAAGUUGGGUGUCAAAUCUACCGGCUCAACCGGUAGCCGCACUCAAAACUGCAGUUCUUGAGUGAAGUAGAGGCAGGCGGAAUGCCUAGUGUAGCGGUGAAAGGCGUAGAUAUUAGGAGGAACACCAGUGGCGAAGGCGGCCUGCUGGGCUUUUGCUGACGCUGAGGCUCGAAAGUGUGGGGAGCAAACAGGAUUAGAUACCCUUGUAGUC